RNAcentral lists this ribosomal RNA (492 nucleotides) under uncultured bacterium. Its description in RNAcentral is "partial 16S ribosomal RNA". It matches the Rfam family "Bacterial small subunit ribosomal RNA", at positions 29 to 507 of the family's 1533-position model. The record is from RNAcentral.
AGUGAACGCUGGCGGUAGGCCUAACACAUGCAAGUCGAACGGCAGCACAGUAAGAGCUUGCUCUUACGGGUGGCGAGUGGCGGACGGGUGAGGAAUACAUCGGAAUCUACUUUUUCGUGGGGGAUAACGUAGGGAAACUUACGCUAAUACCGCAUACGACCUACGGGUGAAAGCAGGGGAUCUUCGGACCUUGCGCGAUUGAAUGGGCCGAUGUCGGAUUAGCUAGUUGGCGGGGUAAAGGCCCACCAAGGCGACGAUCCGUAGCUGGUCAGAGAGGAUGAUCAGCCACACUGGAACUGAGACACGGUCCAGACUCCUACGGGAGGCAGCAGUGGGGAAUAUUGGACAAUGGGCGCAAGCCUGAUCCAGCCAUACCGCGUGGGUGAAGAAGGCCUUCGGGUUGUAAAGCCCUUUUGUUGGGAAAGAAAAGCAGCAGGUUAAUACCCCGCUGUUCUGACGGUACCCAAAGAAUAAGCACCGGCUAACUUCGUG